This 598-nucleotide long non-coding RNA is filed under the name Erythranthe guttata (spotted monkey flower). RNAcentral describes it as "long non-coding RNA (EGUT_LNC000561)". The record is from RNAcentral. Lineage: Eukaryota; Viridiplantae; Streptophyta; Magnoliopsida; Lamiales; Phrymaceae.
UACAUGUAAAUGUAAGCUAUAUUCAUAUAUAUGAUUGAAGGAUAUUUUAGAAUAUCUACCUUUCCCUGUAUUUUUAAUAAUAUUGUAUUUGUAACUUGGGUUUCUUGUAUUCAUUAAUCUAUAUCUUGUGCGUGCAGCUCUGGAUGAUAAAACUCCAAAUCUUCUUAUUGGUAUGCUCUUUUUUUCCAGUCUUUUUUCACUUGAUCACCAUUAUUAUAUUUUAAUACUGAUCCAAAAGGGACAGGUCGACAAAGUUAUAUUUUUAAAUCGUUAAGAACAGACACUAUACGCUAAAUUCAUGAUGUUGGGGUCGUACAUGAUUGACUAGCUCUACUGAUCGUCUUCUUUGCUUUGUUCGUGUUCUUUGCUGUUAAUUUUAGUUUCUAGUUUUUUUUGAAAUUAUUCUAUUUUUACAGCAAUUAAGAAUGAGAAAAAUACUGUAAAAGAGAUCAUGUACAUGUAUUAAAUAUUGACCAUGGUAUUUGUAACUUGUAUGGUUUUCUUAUUAUACUAAUUUAUGUAUAUUCUUGUAUAUACAGGUGGCUUUGAGUGACCAGUUUUAUUAUUGAUGUUCCUAACGUAUGGUGGGAGCUAAAUU